RNAcentral lists this ribosomal RNA (253 nucleotides) under uncultured bacterium. RNAcentral describes it as "partial 16S ribosomal RNA". It matches the Rfam family "Bacterial small subunit ribosomal RNA", at positions 524 to 776 of the family's 1533-position model. The record is from RNAcentral.
UACGAAGGGGGCUAGCGUUGUUCGGAAUUAUUGGGCGUAAAGCGCGCGCAGGCGGUCCUUUAAGUCUGAUGUGAAAGCCCACGGCUCAACCGUGGAGGGUCAUUGGAAACUGGGGGACUUGAGUGCAGAAGAGGAAAGCGGAAUUCCACGUGUAGCGGUGAAAUGCGUAGAGAUGUGGAGGAACACCAGUGGCGAAGGCGGCUUUCUGGUCUGUAACUGACGCUGAGGCGCGAAAGCGUGGGGAGCAAACAGG